CCCUUAGAUGUUCUGGGCUGCACGCGCGCUACACUGAUGCGAUCAACAAGUUUUUCCUAUGUCGAUAGACACGGGUAAUCUUUUGAACUCGCAUCGUGAUGGGGAUAGAUUAUUGUAAUUAUUAAUCUUCAACGAGGAAUUCCUAGUAGGUGCAAAUCAUCAGUUUGCAUCGAUUACGUCCCUGCCCUUUGUACACACCGCCCGUCGCUGCUACCGAUUGGUUGAUCUGGUGAAUUAUUCGGACUGCCGGCUGAAGGGGUUUCCUCAUCUGCCAGCGGAAAGUCUUGUUAACCCUAUCAUCUAGAGGAAGCAGAAGUCGUAACA
This 324-nucleotide ribosomal RNA is filed under the name uncultured eukaryote. RNAcentral's name for it is "partial 18S ribosomal RNA". It matches the Rfam family "Eukaryotic small subunit ribosomal RNA", at positions 1470 to 1796 of the family's 1831-position model. The record is from RNAcentral.